Molecule: non-coding RNA, 744 nt
Organism: Saimiri boliviensis boliviensis (Bolivian squirrel monkey)
Lineage: Eukaryota; Metazoa; Chordata; Mammalia; Primates; Cebidae
Source: RefSeq, a predicted model, not a curated record
AUGGCCUGGACUCCACUCCUCCCCACCCUCCUGGCUCACUGCACAGGGUCUUGUGCUGAGGUUGUGUUCACUCAGCCUCAUUCUGUGUUGGGGUCUCCAGGGCAGACAGUCACCAUCUCCUGCACCCACAGUAGUGGCAGCAUUGAUAGUAAAUAUGUGUAGUGCUACCAGCAGUGCCUGGGAAAGUGCCCCCACCACUGCAAUUAACAAUGUUAACCAAAGACCCUCUCGGGUCUCUGAUCAGUGUUCUGGAUCCAUUGAUAGCUCUAACUCUGCCUCCCUGACCAUCUCUGGGCUAAAGGCCGAGGAUGAGGCUACUACUGUCAGUCCUAUGAUGACAGCUACAAUCUCACAGUGCUCCAGAUCCAUGGGGAACAGCUGGAACCUCCCAGGGCCAGAAGAGGCUCCCCUAGCCCCACCCCACACUCAGCCUUCCCCAAGUUCAGGCCCAGGGACAGCACUGGAAACAGCAACAACAUUGGACGUUAUAAUGUGGGCUGGUACCAACAGAUUUCUCACGGUGCUCCCAAAACUGUGAUGCUUGGAAAUUCUCAGCCCUCAGGGAUCCCCGAGCACUUCUCUGGCUCAAAGUCUAGGACCAGAGCCUCCCUGACCAUCUCAGGCCUUCAGUCUGAGGACAAGGCUGAUUAUUACUGUUCGGCAUGGGACAACAGCUUCAGCGCUCACACAGUGCUGCAGACACGUGGGAAACCGAGACAAAAACCUACCCUUGGCCUGUCCUGA